CGCUGGCGGCGUGCCUAAUACAUGCAAGUCGAACGGCUUUUCUAUGGAAGCUUGCUUCCACUGAGAAGAUAGUGGCGAACGGGUGAGUAACACGUGGGUAACCUGCCCAUAAGAGGGGGAUAACAUCCGGAAACGGGUGCUAAUACCGCAUAGUUUUCUUGAUUGCAUGAUUGAGAAAGGAAAGACGGCCUUUGUGCUGUCGCUUAUGGAUGGACCCGCGGCGUAUUAGUUAGUUGGUGAGGUAACGGCUCACCAAGACGAUGAUACGUAGCCGACCUGAGAGGGUGAUCGGCCACAUUGGGACUGAGACACGGCCCAAACUCCUACGGGAGGCAGCAGUAGGGAAUCUUCCGCAAUGGACGAAAGUCUGACGGAGCAACGCCGCGUGAGUGAAAGAAGGUUUUCGGAUCGUAAAACUCUGUUGUCAGAGAAGAACAAGUUGGAGAGUAACUGCUCCAGCCUUGACGGUAUCUGACCAGAAAGCCACGGCUAACUACGUGCCAGCCGCCGC
This 511-nucleotide ribosomal RNA is filed under the name uncultured bacterium. Its description in RNAcentral is "bacterial SSU rRNA". It matches the Rfam family "Bacterial small subunit ribosomal RNA", at positions 34 to 518 of the family's 1533-position model. The record is from RNAcentral.